RNAcentral lists this ribosomal RNA (497 nucleotides) under uncultured bacterium. RNAcentral's name for it is "partial 16S ribosomal RNA". It matches the Rfam family "Bacterial small subunit ribosomal RNA", at positions 28 to 507 of the family's 1533-position model. The record is from RNAcentral.
GAUGAACGCUGGCGGCGUGCCUAAUACAUGCAAGUCGAGCGAACAGACGAGGAGCUUGCUCCUCUGACGUUAGCGGCGGACGGGUGAGUAACACGUGGAUAACCUACCUAUAAGACUGGGAUAACUUCGGGAAACCGGAGCUAAUACCGGAUAAUAUAUUGAACCGCAUGGUUCAAUAGUGAAAGACGGUUUUGCUGUCACUUAUAGAUGGAUCCGCGCCGCAUUAGCUAGUUGGUAAGGUAACAGCUUACCAAGGCAACGAUGCGUAGCCGACCUGAGAGGGUGAUCGGCCACACUGGAACUGAGACACGGUCCAGACUCCUACGGGAGGCAGCAGUAGGGAAUCUUCCGCAAUGGGCGAAAGCCUGACGGAGCAACGCCGCGUGAGUGAUGAAGGUCUUCGGAUCGUAAAACUCUGUUAUUAGGGAAGAACAGAUGUGUAAGUAACUAUGCACGUCUUGACGGUACCUAAUCAGAAAGCCACGGCUAACUACGUG